RNAcentral lists this long non-coding RNA (432 nucleotides) under Gossypium raimondii (Peruvian cotton). Its description in RNAcentral is "long non-coding RNA (GRAI_LNC003795)". Lineage: Eukaryota; Viridiplantae; Streptophyta; Magnoliopsida; Malvales; Malvaceae. The record is from RNAcentral.
AUGUUGUUCUCUCCCUUGCCUAUUGCAACUUGUUUUUUUGUUGUUGUUUUUUUCAUUUUCAUUUCUUUUGUUUUGUUCCCUGUUUUUUGAUUUUCUAUCAUCAUUUGGGCUGCCAUUUUGUUCUUUUUUUUAUUUUAAUCUGCUCCCUAUCGGUGAUCUUGCUUUCCCACUCUCUUGCUAUUUGUUUCGUUAGGUAAGUUGGUGUGCUCUGUUUAGUAAGUUUGGGUUUUGGGUGUAUUUUCGAAUCUUGAUGUGGAAUUUUUAUGAGGUUUAUGAUUGUAGUUUGGUCAAUUGUUUGUUUGAAACUUGAAUUAGUUUCGUAGAGUUCUCGUUGUUAGGUGAUAAUUUUAAAGCAUCCAAUCUUUCUCCCGCGUCGUAAUUUUGAGUGGUUGCUGUUCGCUUAAUCGGUAAGAGUACGGAUGUGAUUUUUAG